Oncorhynchus tshawytscha (Chinook salmon) is the source of this 1096-nucleotide long non-coding RNA. The record is from Ensembl. NCBI's taxonomy places the organism in Eukaryota, Metazoa, Chordata, Actinopteri, Salmoniformes, Salmonidae.
AGACAUUAGCCCCUGGGAGGUGGAAGACAUUAGCCCCUGGGCGCUGGGCGGUGGAAGACAUUAGCACCUGGGCGGUGGAAGACAUUAGCCCCUGGGCGCUGGGCGACAUUAGCCCCUGGGCGGUGGAAGACAUUAGCCCCUGGGCGCUGGUCGUCUUCUAAGUAUGAAUGAAUGUGAAGGCAGAGGGAAUAACAGGGGUGAUGUUAUGGUACACACAGUGUUGGCUUUGAGGGCAGAGAAAAUAACUCUCUCUCUUCUUCAAAGGAACGGGCAACCAUCCAAGAGUUUGGGGGAUGAAUUCCUCCAGAUAAAUGGUUCUCAGUUGAUUCUCAGAACCUUUAAAAAAAAUGUUUUUGUUGUUUUUGCUUCUGGGAUGAAAGAACCCAUUGAGAAUAUCUCUGUUCUUGCAACAGCAAGAUAACUUACACCACACAGUUUUCAAACUUAAUCUUUCUUAUGUUGACAUCAAUUCUCCAAUGGACUAAAAUAGCCUUUUACUUUGAGUAUUUUUUUUUUACGACAUAAUAAUAGUUAUCCUCAGUAAAUCUCCUUAAUGUUUUCACACCUCAUCUUCCUCCAUAUAGAUGUUUUGUAAUCGUUAAAUGAAUGGCCAUUCAACAACAUGGUAUUUUUUUCCGGAAGCACUUCUCUGUUGAACUACAUGAAAAUCUAAUUAAAUCACAAAUAUUUUUUGAACUUGAAAAUCGAAUCAAGUCACUGAUAUAUAUUUUUUGUACUAGAUGAAAAUGGUUAUCCUCACUGUGUUGGGUUUGUCCUCAUAACAAAUUGUUAACAGAAACUAUUUUCUGUCAAAAAUUGUCCAGUGUUCCUGGGUUUGAAAUGGCCUCUAUGUAAAUGACACAGCUCCAUUUGUAAGCGAAUCACAUGUAGCUUUAUUCAAAUGUCCAUUUUGUGUUUUCUUAUUGCAGAAUAGAACACAUUGGCCUUGUUUAGCUAACAGGACAAACACACACUAAACUUGUUCUAAUCUACAAUAUGUUUUUUUAAUAAGCAGAAAAAUCAAGGACUUAUUUGCACUGUUUGUUUUGCUGAUGUUGAAUGUUUUGCAUUGCUGAUAUUAAUGGUCCACUGAGAG